GUGGAAAGAAUAGCUCAGUUGGUAGAGCGCAACCUUGCCAAGGUUGAGGUCGCGAGUUCGAGACUCGUUUUCCGCUCCA
This 79-nucleotide transfer RNA is filed under the name Neisseria meningitidis. Its description in RNAcentral is "tRNA-Gly". The stretch from base 4 to 73 matches the Rfam family "tRNA". From Rfam's summary of the family: Transfer RNA (tRNA) molecules are approximately 80 nucleotides in length. Their secondary structure includes four short double-helical elements and three loops (D, anti-codon, and T loops). Lineage: Bacteria; Pseudomonadati; Pseudomonadota; Betaproteobacteria; Neisseriales; Neisseriaceae. The record is from RNAcentral.